Molecule: long non-coding RNA, 1574 nt
Organism: Amblyraja radiata (thorny skate)
Lineage: Eukaryota; Metazoa; Chordata; Chondrichthyes; Rajiformes; Rajidae
Exons: 2
Source: RefSeq, a predicted model, not a curated record
AAAGGGUCCUUUAAAACUGCAUUUGCUUUUCUUUGUAAAGUGGUAAAGAAACCAUAUAGGGCUAUUCUUUGGAAAGUGAACCAAAAUGUCACACACAUUACCAAAUGGCAUCACAUAAAGCAAUACAUAAAACAUUUAUUGUAAGAGAUUAAUCUUAUUCAUUGCUAUUUUCCUACAUACAGAACUAUAAUGCAUGUCUGCUACAGAUAUGAACAUUCUAGUUUUUUGUAAUUCACAAGAGUUUGUUAGAUAAAACUGAGUUAUGAAAAAAAACGUGAUAGUAGAUAUAAAAAUUAUGAGAGGCAAUGAUAGGGUAGAUGGCCAGAACAAUCUGAUGGUCAGAUCCACAUUCCCUGAACCAGUUAUAAAAGAGUCCUUUAAAACUGCAUUUGAUUUUCUUUGCAAUCUUCCUAUGUGGCAGUUUGAAAUUGCCCCAACAUUGUCAAAGACCCUCAAGAUUUCUUCUUGAUGAACCUCUUUGAAACUGUGGUUGUUUUGUCUCCCCUCAUUACUCUGAUGAAAAUGUAUUAUUUUUCUGCAUUUCAGUUAGGAUUUUUCCAUUUUAUCUCAUCUGGCUAAGUCACCUGGGUCUGUUAUGACUCCUCGUGAUAUUUACUACAUUGCCAAGUUUUACGAAAUUCACAGACUUCAUUAUACUUUGAAUGUCAUGUCUAGGUCAAUGAUAUACAUUAAAAUGAGCAUAUGGCUGUCAUGUUAACCUUUGGAAAUCACUAUAUUGCCUUUGGCCUGCAGAUCAAUUGGCCACCACUCGUGUCUAUUUUUCACACUGCUAUACUGUUCCUUUCAUUUUUCCAUCUAUUAUUGUCUUACCCAAUAAUCUUUGUUUCUCUUCCACUGGCCCAGAGUUCAUCCACACUUCCUAAAGCAAGCAUCCGAUCAGUUAUGUAUUUGCACAUUUGAUUGGUCCUUGACCUUUGCCAAAUGUGGUCUUGUCAUCCGAUGUUUCUCAAAUGUUCUCUCACUGAACGUGCUGUUGUCCAUCAAAAUAAUAUAAUGAUAUAUACUGCCAUCCCCUAAAACAAAAAGACGUAAUGUUAAAAAUAUAACAAACAAGUUGCACACAACAGCAAUAAAUACAAAUAUAACAAUGGAGAAACAAGAAGCUGCAGGUGCUGGUUUACAAAUAAAGACACAAAGUGCUGGAGUAUGACAGAAAAUGACAGGAUAACAGCAAUGUUAAAUUUGGGGUAACUAGUGAACAGGCCAGGAGAUUUAUUACAUACUAGAAUGAAUUUAAUAUCUAAUUAAAUCUCUUAGAGUAACUUUGUAUUAAAGUAGUUAUUUAAAUAUUUUUGGAGAUUUUGUAGACAACAAGUGAUUUUGUUUUUAAUUUCAAAAUUAUUUAGAACUUCAGGGAUCACUUUGAUAAGUAUAUCAGUUGAAAUAACUGGCUGUACGUUAAUGAAAAGCUUCUUGUUUCUCCAUUGUUAUGUUUGUAUUUAUUGCUGUUGUGUGCAACUUGUUUGUUAUAGUUUUAACAUUACAACAGUGACUCAGUCUCAAAAAUAUAAUGAAGUCAUGUAAUCUGUUUCUCAAUUGGGUGGGUCAACGAU